UGCGGUGCCGACAUUCUACAACAUGCCUCAUCACAUGCAGGCUGAUAUUGCCCGCCCGGCACCGACCGCGGCACCGACCCCCGUGGUGCAGUCUGACAGGGAGGUUACAGGCAAAACCCCCGAUCGGAGGAAUGCUCCUGUACGGCAGCCUCUCCCGGCUCAGUUUCCACCUCACGCAGGAGCCUCACUACCUCACUUUACUCAGACAGCAGAUCUCCUGGUAUCACCUAUCCUGCAGUCUCCCCUGAUGAAUGCAUAUUCUUCUCCAAUGCCUGAGUCAGGAUCUGAGCAGCUUUCCUCCAGUGAGGAGGAAACAGAUCCACAGGGAGUUUUUUCUCCAUAUCAAGACUCCCAACCCCAGACCCCAGGCAAUAGAGGUUAUGAGAAAACUACCUCAUCCUACUCUCAGGACCCUGCCUCCUGGGGGGUGAACUCCUGGAUGGCACCACUUAUGCCCUACCCACCACCAUGGCAAUACUGGACACCAUGGGCAUCGUACCCUCGGGAAUACGUGCGCCAUGGCCACUCGACCAGGCGCAACACCGAUCCAGCGUCGCCCCCUGACGAAUAUGCCAGUGACACGAGACACCUGGUAACACAGUCACACUUCCAGGAUAAACCUAGCCCUGCUCCUAUUCCAGCAGAGCCGGAGCUAGCACCUGAAGAAGCAUUACUUCCCCUUCCCCCAACACCGUCGGAUGACUAUGCAAAAUUCCAGGACCUCUUUAAAAGAGUUGCCAGUGACUUGAGAAUUAACUUGGAGGUAGUCACUGAACAACAACAUGAGCUAACGAACAUCCUACAGCCCCCUUCUUCCUCCAGGGUGGCAUUACCAAUUAACGCAGCCCUUUUAGAAUCCGCUAAGUCCAUCUGGCAGACUCCAGCGACAAGCCUACCUACCUGCAAACAAGCAGACAGGAAGUACUUUAUUUCUCCAAAAGACUCUGAAUUCCUUUUUACCCACCCGGCACCAAAUUCAUUGGUAGUAGACGCUGCGAACCAGAGGGCUAGACAACAGUAUUCUCGUUCCACCCCACCCAACAAGGACAGCAAACGAUUGGAUCUUUUUGGUCGCAAAGUAUACGCAUCCUCGACCCUACAAUUUUGUAUAGCUAAUUAUACUGCAGUCCUGGCAAAAUACAACCACAAAAACUAUAAUAAAUUAAUGGACUUUAUUGAUGACAUUCCAGAACAGAGAAAACAACAGUUCAGAGCUAUGGUUUCCGAGGGACAAGCCAUAUCACGCACCGCUCUCCAAGCAGCCCUCGAUGUAGCCAACACAGCAGCAAGAUCGACCGCUACAGCAGUAGUCAUGCGACGGGGCUCAUGGCUCUCCUCCUCUUUUUUUCCUCGAGAAGUUCAGAGCACCACUGAAGAUCUUCCCUUCGACGGUGACAAACUUUUUGCUUCUACCACGAAUGACGUGCUUCAUUCAAUGAAGGACUCAAGGACAACCCUCCGGUCUCUAGGUCUCCAGACACCUACGACCAGAAGACGGCAAUAUAGAUACCAACCGUACCACCGGCCACGUUAUCCCGCAUUCACACAACACUCCCAUAGACCGCAGGAACAACAACAACAACAACAACGUCAAAGACCAAGAUUCCAGCGACGUCGUCCAAAUUCUGCAGGGGCACCUCAACCCCCGCCAACUAAUAGGCAGAUUUGAAGCCUUGGUCGAGGGUUUAGAAAGCAACGCCCCCACUUCAGCCGACACACCUAUCUUUGGACACCGCCUACGACCUUUCUCCCAUCAAUGGAAGAACAUUACCUCCGACAAGUGGGUCUUAGAGGUAGUUACAAUUGGAUACGUCAUCCCCUUCCUCUCCUUGCCUCCCACCCACCCACCCUCCCUGUCCCUCUUCAGGGACCCUUCUCACGAGCAGCUACUCCUCCAAGAAGUGCAACAUCUCCUUCAUCUGGGAGCAGUAGAAAUCGUGCCAGAACGACACAGAGGGAAGGGUUUUUACUCCCAUUAUUUCUUAACAGAAAAGAAAAAUGGGGGAUGGCGACCAAUCCUCGACCUCAGGCGGCUCAACAAAUUUGUCAAAAAGCAAAAGUUCAAGAUGGUUACCCUCACUACCAUAAUCCCAGCGCUGGAGCAGGGCGACUGGUUUUCUGCCCUCGACCUACAAGAUGCCUAUUUCCAUGUCACUAUACAUCCGGCCCACAGAGGCUUUCUUCGAUUUACCCUCGGUUCGACACAUUUCCAAUACAGGGUACUCCCCUUCGGACUGUCCACUGCCCCCCGUGUCUUUUCCAAGCUCCUAGCUGUAGUCACUGCCUACCUCAGGAAACAAGGGGUCAUAGUAUUCCCUUACCUCGACGAUUGCCUCCUCAAAGCUUCAACAUUCGACGAGGCUCUCCGGUUCACACGGCUCACAGUCGAUUGUUUCCUAUCUCUCGGCCUACAAAUAAACAAAGACAAAUCCACA
RNAcentral lists this long non-coding RNA (2435 nucleotides) under Chrysemys picta bellii (western painted turtle). Its description in RNAcentral is "lncRNA (ENSCPBG00000022668.1)". The record is from RNAcentral. Lineage: Eukaryota; Metazoa; Chordata; Testudines; Emydidae.